Small RNA from Listeria monocytogenes EGD-e, 163 nucleotides. It matches the Rfam family "Listeria sRNA rli49". The record is from Rfam. Lineage: Bacteria; Bacillati; Bacillota; Bacilli; Caryophanales; Listeriaceae.
UUUUUUUGAAACUAACAUCAUUUUCGUCUUAGUAAAGAUAAACUUACCAGUGUAAGUAUAGUCUUCUUUUGUGCGAAUUAGUGGCUCAUAAACUAAUUCCUCUACUCCAAAAGAUUCUAUCGUUUGCACGCCGUCCACAUUAAAAGUGUUCCCGCUUAAGAAA